GAUGAAGAACGUAGCGAAAUGCGAUACUUGGUGUGAAUUGCAGAAUCCCGUGAACCAUCGAGUCUUUGAACGCAAGUUGCGCCCGAAGCCAUUAGGCCGAGGGCACGCCUGCCUGGGCGUCACACGUCGUUGCCCCCCCAUCUACUCCUUCGGGAUUGCGGGGGGCGGAUGAUGGCCUCCCGUGCGCCUCGUCGCGCGGUUGGCAUAAAUGCCAAGUCCUCGGCGACGCACGCCACGACAAUCGGUGGUUGCGAAACCUCGGUUGCCCGUCGUGUGCGGUCGUCGCGCAUCGAGGGCUCGAAAAAAUCGCCGGGCUCCGGCUCGGCUUUCAACGCGACCCCAGGUCAGGCGGGGUUACCCGCUGAAUUUAAGCAUAUCAAUAAGCGGAGG
RNAcentral lists this unclassified non-coding RNA (390 nucleotides) under soil metagenome. RNAcentral describes it as "partial contains 5.8S ribosomal RNA, internal transcribed spacer 2, and large subunit ribosomal RNA". The stretch from base 1 to 122 matches the Rfam family "5.8S ribosomal RNA", at positions 35 to 154 of the family's 154-position model. The record is from RNAcentral.